This 420-nucleotide unclassified non-coding RNA is filed under the name soil metagenome. RNAcentral's name for it is "partial contains 5.8S ribosomal RNA, internal transcribed spacer 2, and large subunit ribosomal RNA". The stretch from base 1 to 120 matches the Rfam family "5.8S ribosomal RNA", at positions 35 to 154 of the family's 154-position model. The record is from RNAcentral.
GAUGAAGAACGUAGCGAAAUGCGAUACGUAAUGUGAAUUGCAGAAUUCAGUGAAUCAUCGAAUCUUUGAACGCACAUUGCACUCUCUGGUAUUCCGGAGAGUAUGCUUGUUUGAGUAUCUGUAAACAUCUCAAAUCUCUCUUCGCUUGCGUCGAGAGAAUUGGAUUUGAGCGAUCCCGACUCCUUCGUCAGAAAGAGGAGGGUCGCUUGAAAUGCAGGUGCAGCUGGACAUUCUUCUGAGCUAAAAGCAUAUCUAUUUAGUCCCGUCAAACGGAUUAUUACUUUUGCUUCAGCUAAUAUAAAGGUCGAAUGAACUACCAACGCUGAUUGCAGGAAAACUCGUUUGUAACAGAACUUGUAAACUCGAUCUCAAAUCAAGUAAGACUACCCGCUGAACUUAAGCAUAUCAAUAAGCGGAGGA